RNAcentral lists this ribosomal RNA (392 nucleotides) under uncultured bacterium. RNAcentral describes it as "partial 16S ribosomal RNA". It matches the Rfam family "Bacterial small subunit ribosomal RNA", at positions 523 to 918 of the family's 1533-position model. The record is from RNAcentral.
AUACGGAGGAUCCGAGCGUUAUCCGGAUUUAUUGGGUUUAAAGGGUGCGCAGGCGGCCAUUUAAGUCAGCGGUUAAGUCGUGGGGCUCAACCCCAUUCUGCCGUUGAUACUGGGUGGCUUGAUUGCGGUCGAGGUUGGCGGAAUUCGUUGUGUAGCGGUGAAAUGCAUAGAUAUGACGAAGAACACCGAUUGCGUAGGCAGCUGACCAGACCGCAAAUGACGCUCAUGCACGAAAGUGCGGGGAUCGAACAGGAUUAGAUACCCUGGUAGUCCGCACAGUAAACGAUGAAUACUUGUUUUCGGCGAUAUAAUGUCGGAGGCAAAGCGAAAGCGAUAAGUAUUCCACCUGGGGAGUACGCCGGCAACGGUGAAACUCAAAUGAAUUGACGGGG